GGUGGGUGGUCUCCCAAUCUGUUUUCAUCCCCCAAGGCAAGGGAUGGUAUAUGCUUUGAAAAGGCAGCCCCCUGAGCUCUUGACCCUUUGCUCCUGGACCCUCUCACCUCACUCCAUGUCCUCCGCAAGGUUCCUUGGAUGAGGGCACACCGAGAAGCAUCCCAUGGCAUCCCAUGACAAAGAUGUGGGGCCCUUACUGCCCAAUCCCUGGGACGCCAUCCUUGAGGCCGUCAAGGAGCAGCUCCCAUCUCUGGACUCAGAUUCCUCCUCGUCAAACUGCGAGGAAGAGGAGCUGUUCAUCUUCCAGCGAAAUCAAACCGCCCUGAUUCCAGACUUGUCAGAAGAACUGGCCGAAGACCCUGACGGGGCCUGGGUCACUUCCUCUGGGUCUCCUCCUGAGCCAGCUGUAGUGCCUGUGGAAUCCGCCGGGGAACCCAGGGGAGAGUGGAACGCUGGGCCCCAGGCCCAGGAGUCAGUCUCUCUGGAAGGAAGGGCCCCUGGCAGGCCUUUGCAGAGCGGUGAUGAGAGCAGCUCUCUUCUCAGGAUACCUGUGGAGACCCCCACGUGGCAGGAUGACGAUGGGGACACAGCCUUCAAAACCAGUACAUCACAGAGUCCUUGCCAGGGGCCACAGGGAGAGGCCACUCUCUCCUCUCAGGAAGCAGGCCUGCAGACAGAGCCCCCAGGCGCUGCCUCAUGGGCCCAGGAGGGCUCAGACUCUGCAAACCGCAGAGCCCUCCGGAGGGAGAGAAGGAAGAUGAUCGAGAAAGACAUACUUCACAAAGUCACCUGGGAUGCCCAGGACCCAGCCUGCCAAGACCUGAGUGGAGUGAAGCAGAUGCCCUGUGAUGCUGCGGAAACGCUGCCAGAGGGGCCCCAGCGGGGACCGCCCUUGCUCUCCCUCCAGCAACUUGAAGAGUGGGAUUUGGAUCAAGUCCUUCAGAGUCUGACAGGGCGAGAAGAACUGGGAGAUGGCGCUUCUGGAGCCGCGUGGUGGGCAGCAGACCGCCUCCAGGGCCAAGGUCUGACCUUGAACGCCGGGGCCCAAGUGCAUACCCACAAGUGGCUCCUUCCAGGGCCUCCCAAUAAAAUAGGGCAAUGGGCUGGGCACAGUCAGCCCAGCAGCUCGCCACAUCUGCUGCGCCUCUCUGCUGCUCAGCCCUCGCCGUCCUGCACACCCAGGAUGCAAGACUUUAUCCACCCAUCCAUUCACUCACUGACACUCAUUCAUUCAUCCAUUACAUAUGUGACUGCCUGCUAUGUUCCUGGGGUGGACCAAGCCUUGGGGAUACGAGAGGAAGCCCUUCAGACAGGGUCCCUGCCUUUUCUUCCCCCCCACCUCCUCAGGCCUGCGUCUCUUUCUUUCUGGGAGCAAAGUAAUCCUGCAUUUGGUACCCCUUCAGCCCGCUUCUAAACAGAAUCCUGUUUCCACCGCCUCCACGUUUACCAAACAAAGCCAGGGAUGAUUCCUUCAUUGCACUUGUGGCCUCACUCUGGGCAGUUUCGUAAAAAAGUUCCCUGUCCCCUCCUGGCCACUCUGGCCCACAAAGGUGAGUGGAGGCAGGUCUGAGGCAAAGGUGCUGCGGGGGUUCUGGCCUCCCGUUCCAGAGCAAAGGCUCCUUUGUGGCCAAGAGCCCCUGGUGCUAUUUUAAAAAGGGCUUUGUUUGGAAUUUAACCCCUUAGAGCAGGAUAUGGAGAAACUCACUCUCCUACAAGUUGGGGCAGGGCUGGGGGGCUGUAGUUGGUGCCCCCUUUUGGCGGGCAAUGUGGCAGAAUCUGUUCUCCAUUUAAAGGCACAUAAGCCUUUGAUUAAGCUAUUCACUCCACUUCUAAAGGCUGUCCUAAACACACCCUCACAGAUGUUCAUUGCAACAUUGUUCAUACUUGUGAAAAACUGGAAGCAAACCACAUUCAACAUUCAGUAGGAGUCUAGCUAAUCAGUCAACCAGAGAAUUCUCUGCAGCUCAACAAAUGGAAUCUAUCUAUCUAUCUAUCUAUUCAUUUCUCUCAACACAGAAAAAUGUAAAAUAUAUUCAGUAAAAAAAAAAAUCUAUAGAGGAUGAUCCCAUUGCUUCUUAAAAAAAAAGAAAAGCAAAUAUGCAGAACUGUUAUUGAUGGUUCCCUCUGACAAGUGGGACCGGAGUGAGAACGUGGACUACACUGUUAACAGGACGUCACCCUUGCUUCCCGGGCUCACACACAGCUCCCUGCUCAAGAAGACAGCGCCCCUCGCCCUGCUGAGCUGGAGGGGGCGACACAAAAGCUGGAAACUGAGGCUCAGAGAGGUUGCCUUGCCCAGGACAUAAGUGGCAGAGCACACAGUGGUCACCGGGAAGUGACUCAGCCGCCCGGCUCCUCUCACCCCAGAUGCGCUUCCAGGGAGCUGGGCUUCCAGGCGCUGGC
Molecule: RNA transcript, 2403 nt
Organism: Lagenorhynchus albirostris (white-beaked dolphin)
Lineage: Eukaryota; Metazoa; Chordata; Mammalia; Artiodactyla; Delphinidae
Gene: DNAAF8
Gene name: dynein axonemal assembly factor 8
Exons: 5
Source: RefSeq, a predicted model, not a curated record